UACGAAGGGGGCUAGCGUUGCUCGGAAUCACUGGGCGUAAAGCGCACGUAGGCGGAUUGUUAAGUCAGGGGUGAAAUCCUGGAGCUCAACUCCAGAACUGCCUUUGAUACUGGCGAUCUCGAGUCCGGGAGAGGUGAGUGGAACUCCGAGUGUAGAGCUGAAAUUCGUAGAUAUUCGGAAGAACACCGGUGGCGAAGGCGGCGACCUGGUCCGCAACUGACGCUGAGGCGCGAAAGCGUGGGGAGCAAACAGG
RNAcentral lists this ribosomal RNA (253 nucleotides) under uncultured bacterium. RNAcentral's name for it is "partial 16S ribosomal RNA". It matches the Rfam family "Bacterial small subunit ribosomal RNA", at positions 524 to 776 of the family's 1533-position model. The record is from RNAcentral.